RNAcentral lists this ribosomal RNA (492 nucleotides) under uncultured bacterium. RNAcentral's name for it is "partial 16S ribosomal RNA". It matches the Rfam family "Bacterial small subunit ribosomal RNA", at positions 28 to 505 of the family's 1533-position model. The record is from RNAcentral.
GACGAACGCUGGCGGCGUGCUUAACACAUGCAAGUCGAACGGAAAGGCCUGCUUUCCCUUGUGGAUUGCGGGUACUCGAGUGGCGAACGGGUGAGUAACACGUGAGUGAUCUGCCCCCAACUUGGGUAUAAGCCUGGGAAACUGGGUCUAAUUCCCGAUAGGACUGCAGGGUGGUGCCUGUGGUGGAAAACGAUUUUCUAGUGGUUGGGGAUGAGCUCGCGGCCUAUCAGCUUGUUGGUGGGGUAAUGGCCUACCAAGGCGGCGACGGGUAGCCGGCCUGGGAGGGUGGACGGCCACAUUGGGACUGAGAUACGGCCCAGACUCCUACGGGAGGCAGCAGUGGGGAAUAUUGCACAAUGGGCGGAAGCCUGAUGCAGCGACGCCGCGUGGGGGAUGACGGCCUUCGGGUUGUAAACUCCUUUCGACCGCGAGGAAGCCACCUGGUUGGAAGGGUGGUGACGGUAGUGGGAGAAGAAGCACCGGCUAACUACG